This 371-nucleotide ribosomal RNA is filed under the name uncultured organism. RNAcentral's name for it is "bacterial SSU rRNA". It matches the Rfam family "Bacterial small subunit ribosomal RNA", at positions 526 to 896 of the family's 1533-position model. The record is from RNAcentral.
CGUAGGGUGCGAGCGUUAACCGGAAUUACUGGGCGUAAAGCGUGCGCAGGCGGUUUUGUAAGCCAGAUGUGAAAUCCCCGGGCUUAACCUGGGAAUGGCAUUUGGGACUGCAAGGCUUGAGUGCGGCAGAGGAGACUGGAAUUCCCGGUGUAGCAGUGAAAUGCGUAGAUAUCGGGAGGAAUACCGAUGGCGAAGGCAGGUCUCUGGGCUGACACUGACGCUCAUGCAGGAAAGCGUGGGGAGCAAACAGGAUUAGAUACCCUGGUAGUCCACGCCCUAAACGAUGUCGACUGGUUGUUGGGGGUUUGACACUCUCAGUAACGAAGCUAACGCGUGAAGUCGACCGCCUGGGGAGUACGGCCGCAAGGUUA